CUUUGGGGAGCCCGCCGCUCAAAGGCAGGCUGGAAGGGCUUGGCUGGCUCUCUCCGGUGUUCAGUUAUUUAUUUAUUCUUUUUUUUUUUAUUUGUCUGUUUGUUAAACGUACAGAGAACUAGGUGCAGUAGACUAAACCUGGGACUGCUUGUCCUGAAGCCCACAUCUGGCACAGGGCCAUUAGAAGGUUGUUCAGCUACCUGGUAACAGCCUCCGCCGUUGUGCGCUGACAUUCUUAUUAAAGUGUCUGAAGGAAUCAGAUUGGAUCACGACUGACCUGCACGCUCUGAAUGUCAGAAGCAAAGAGUUAUGUGCCAGGAAAAGAGGAAUCCAAAAAAAUAAUAUAGAAAAUUCGAUGAGGAUGUCUUCGUAAGAAUAGUGGCCUGGAUCCAAACAUGAUGGUCAGAUUGGGUUUGCAGACCAAAUUGGCUUGGUUGAAUCAAGGCUUAUUAGCUGUGUAUAGAUAACCGCAUUUGCACCAGCCUCUAACCCACAAAUUGGUGAGCUAUACUCACACCAGCUAUGAAGAUAAACACAGCACUUUAUACCAUGUUAUAGAUCAACCUUUCAGCUAAACACAACCACUGCACAGAUUCUUCACAUUGAGCUAAACUCUGCACCUGGUCAGCUGAACAAACCACAAGGGUGUGAAUUCAUACGUGCGAAGCCAGCACCACGACAACUACACCACAACCUUGUACAACGUGUGAAUUCAGUCAAGGUUGAUUUCCCCCCCCCCCAUCAUCGUCUCAGAAGUGGAUAAUAUUUGUGAGGCUGAAACAUUAUCCUGGCUCACGGUGGCUGCUGUUUUUCCCUUUAACAUAUUUAAUUUGUUCUAAAAAUAAAGGAGCCCAAUAUAAGCCGGCCAAAUUUUUUAACAACUUGCUCUACUUCUUUCAAACAUAUAUAAAAAUACAUACAGCUGGCUCUUAUUACAGGUGACGUUACCAAGCCAACCCUAAUCUGGCAAGAAAUAUAUUUUUGAUUCAUCAGCUUUUAAUAAAGCCAUGCCGAGUCUUGCCUAUUAUUUAAUUCUAAAGUAAGUUUAACUUGGGAAAAUUGGUCUCAAUGGAUAGAAAUUAAAAAUAAGGAAUGUAUAGAAUAAAAUAAGAUACAAAAUGUGUUUAAAUAUGUUGAUUAAGUAGGAAUAUGUGGGAAUAGAUGUACAAAGUUAAGAAUUAUGUAUUGUCAGAAUGAC
Molecule: long non-coding RNA, 1198 nt
Organism: Ahaetulla prasina
Lineage: Eukaryota; Metazoa; Chordata; Lepidosauria; Squamata; Colubridae
Exons: 4
Source: RefSeq, a predicted model, not a curated record